UGUUUACUUUGUUACUUUUCCCAGUAGAUCCUACUGGCCUGGACUUUUUUAUUCAAUUUUCUUUACAAAUGUAGAGAAUAGGCUCUAAAUUUACAAACGGAAUACCAAGGAUUAACCUGAGUUUACAAGUUGGGUACUUCAUACCAGACAACAUAGUAACUUUUCAAAAACUGGCUUAAUUAGAAAAAUGCAAAGUGUUCAGUCGUAUCACUACACUACACUACACUACACUACACUGCAUGUUCGGUUGAAUUGUUAUCCUCGUGUAGCAGGUAACGCCUAGUGAAAUUGUGUAGUAUGCUGCUCGGAGCGCAAACCACGUGACAUUUGUUGCGCGAGUGAACUCGUGUUCAUUCAGUGGGCAGUAGUUGGAGGACAAAGAACGAAGACGAAGAUUAGUAGGAGGAAGAUAUGAGAAUACUUCUAUUCCAAUGGCUGUGAGCAUGAAAUAAUGUGGCUUUGUGAUGAAGACCUCUUCCAUGAAUCGAUCAACCACAUGUAUAUCUUUAAUUAAAGAUGAGAGUGCCUCUAUUCCGAUGGCUGUGAGCUUGAAAUCACCUGGACAUCUUUUAUGAGUCAAUUAACCGCAUGUACACCUCCAGUUAAAACUGUUUAGUAUAUAAUGGGUCAUCUACACUAAAAAACCUUGCAAGCUCGCAAAAGUCUGCCACCACUUCAGCUGACUUGGUGAUGAUGGUGAAAAUUGCAGUUCCUGAAAAUCCCCAUGUUGAUGACCUAGCAGUAAGAGUAUCUCAGCAGAAAAUGUACAUUCCUUAAUAUGUAUCUUCAUUCUCUAAGCUAGUGAGACAAUGAUUGGUUAUCUCCAUCCAGAAAUGAAAGAACUACAAUAACUGUGGAAGUUUUUAGGGAAGCAUGUACAGACCAAGGUUAUCUCAUCUGCCGGAACCAUCACUCAAGUCCCUUUUGAAGGAAAACUAACGUCCAGACAGGGACCUGGCUCUGCGUAUAGGUACUCGUACAUUUCUUCAUGACAAUCCUGACAUUCCAGAAGAGACCAUUAGAAAGUUUUUCAGUUGUGGCUCUUGCAAGAAGGUUUACUCAUGAUGUCCCUUGUGACCCGCUGGUAGAGAAGUACUCAGAUUACAAAAUCAGCCCAGAACCUGAUCUGCCAAAAUUCAGCAAUAGGGUUUACACCAUUGGAUACAUUCAGGCUCAAUAUGGAAGACAUCAGACUUAUAGAUGGGAACAAGAGAUUCAAGAAGCUUCAAGCCAUUGCCUUAGUCAUACUGUCUUUACCAAUAAGCAGUGCCGAUUUAAAGAAAUGCUUCUCAACAGUGUUAGAUACAAUAAAUCGUUUCUAGUACGAAGUAUCACUAAACAACACCGCAUGUACGGUUGAAUUGUUAGCAGAUGACGGCUAGUGAAAGUGUAGUAUGUGGACCAAAGUGCCAAUCAUGUGGCAUUUGUUGCGAGUGAACUCUUAUCCGUUCAGUUCAGUAGGCUGUAGUCAGAAGACAAAGAACGAUCACAAGUCUCCGAAGGAAGGCUUAACAGCCAGAGACUUUCGAUAUUCCCGGGAAAUGUGAAAUGGAGCCAGUCUUUGUGUAGAAUUCCAGAGACAUUGUUCCCAUGGAAAGGUGAAAUGGUUCCAUGCAUUUUGUAUGUCUCCUGCAAUUCUUCAAUAUAUUCAGUUAGUAACUAUAUUAUCUUUUAGUUGUGUCUUUAGCAAGAAGGUUUACUCAUGAUGUCCCUUGUGACCCGCUGGUAGAGGAGUACUCAGAUUACAAAAUCAGCUCAAAACCUGAUUAGCCAAAAUUCAGCAAUAGGGUUACACCAUUGGAUACAUUCAGGUUCGAUAUGGAAGAUGUCAGACUUGUAAACAGGAACAAGAGAUUCAAGCAGCUUCAAGCCAUUGCUUUAGCCAUUCUGUCUUUACCCUUAAGCAGUGCUGAUUCAAAGAAACGUAGUAGUAGGCUGUAGUCAGAAGACAAAGAACAAUCACAAAUCUUGGAAGGAAGGCUUAACAGCCAGAGACUUUCGAUAUUCCCAGGGAAAUGUGAAAUGGAGCCAGUCCUUGUGUAGAAUUCCAGAGACAUUGUUCCCAUAGAAAGGUGAAAUAUGGUUCCAUGCAUUUUGUAUGUCUCCUGCAAUUCUUCUUUAAUAUCUUCAUUGUGUCCUCUCCUUAGACCAGUUUCCCAGGGAAGUUAUUGAUAAAAAAAUUGAUAUCAACUUGGAAUGAACACACAAUGAAUUGAUCAAAUAAAGUCUCUCGACACUUUCUGCCAACCAUGGAAGAGCUGAAAAUACUGUUGGGAUUUGCCAGCACUUGCACCAUCAGUGUUGAGGUUUCCACAAAACAACUGUACUCGGAGCGUUGCUCCUCUCUGGUCAGAAAUAUUCAGAGAGAAGACAGAAGUUACUUAUCAAUAAACUCUUUUCUGUCAGUUUGUCGUAAUUGGUCAGAUACUGAAUGUUACCAUGGAUCUGCUGGAAGCUUGAAAGAUAUAGAUAUAAAACAUGUUGAGCACCACAUUAGAGAAUGCUUAAGUGUGACAGUGAAAUAGACAUUAAAAACAUUGAAAUUAAGUGCCUAAUUAGUGAUGGUUGAAGGCAGACAUUAAAACUUACUGAUUAAGGAUAUUCAAAUGUGACAGUGAAGUACACAAACUUUAUCUAAUAGGCUUCAGCUGUUUAAAUGACCUGCAGGGAUGAGACAUAUUUUGUUUCACACUGGUAAAUAUUCUAGUAAUUGACAUCUAGUAAUUGUCAUCUGCUGCUACAAUAUUAUUGGACUGUAUAGAAAGUUAUGGUCUCGUUUUGUAAAUCUUUGCCUAGAUAAAGAUUGCAGCAACCAGUGAAAUAAUUAUAAUGUAUUUUUAGAUGGUAGUAUGAAAAAAACAACAAAAAAACUACAACUGUUUGGCAGCAUUCCUUCUCUCACAGCACAUGUGUCAAAUUCUCUCAAUGUAUAAUAUGUAGGGUUUAUGUAUAUAUUAUGCUAAUAACUUUGUUAAUUAGUGGACAAGACACAAGUUAUAUCAUUAUAUUAAAUGUAAUAUCUA
Molecule: long non-coding RNA, 3023 nt
Organism: Mercenaria mercenaria
Lineage: Eukaryota; Metazoa; Mollusca; Bivalvia; Venerida; Veneridae
Exons: 10
Source: RefSeq, a predicted model, not a curated record